UACCGGUCCUCUCGCAAUGAUAGGUUGAAAACCCCGCCAGGCCCGGAAGGGAGCAACGGUAUUGACUGAUUCAUGUGCCGGGAUGCGGCUGGUGCUU
This 97-nucleotide signal recognition particle RNA is filed under the name Gammaproteobacteria bacterium. Its description in RNAcentral is "signal recognition particle sRNA small type". It matches the Rfam family "Bacterial small signal recognition particle RNA". Rfam says of the family: The signal recognition particle (SRP) is a universally conserved ribonucleoprotein involved in the co-translational targeting of proteins to membranes. Archaeal SRP consists of a 7S RNA and homologues of the eukaryotic SRP19 and SRP54 proteins. Lineage: Bacteria; Pseudomonadati; Pseudomonadota; Gammaproteobacteria. The record is from RNAcentral.